RNAcentral lists this unclassified non-coding RNA (227 nucleotides) under Hevea brasiliensis (rubber tree). Lineage: Eukaryota; Viridiplantae; Streptophyta; Magnoliopsida; Malpighiales; Euphorbiaceae. The record is from RNAcentral.
UGUGACCAGGCUCCUAGCAGCAUUGAGAUCCCCAAGCCAAAAAGGGUAUUGAACAUGGGACCUGCAUAGCAUCCAGACACAGCAAUCUGCACACUGUCACCACCAUUCAUUGCCAGGGCAAUGUUAGACACUAAAUCGCCCAUUGAGUUGCCCCACGCUAAUACAGUCAACCCAAGAAUUGAUGGAUUAAUCCCAAAGAUCAAGCCAAAUGCCACCAAUAAAGCAAC